UUUUAGCCCUGACAGCAGCGGGCAUCCCGGUUUUCCAUCGGGAUAAAGCGGAUGGCAGGAACUUCC
Molecule: small RNA, 66 nt
Filed under: Pedobacter zeae
Lineage: Bacteria; Pseudomonadati; Bacteroidota; Sphingobacteriia; Sphingobacteriales; Sphingobacteriaceae
Description: Flavo-1 RNA
Rfam family: Flavo-1 RNA
Source: RNAcentral